GGCUUACACUUGAUCGCUGAACUUAAGGUAAGUUCAUAUGUUGACAAGGUCUUCUAUUUAGCUGAUGCA
Non-coding RNA from Amborella trichopoda, 69 nucleotides. The record is from Rfam. Lineage: Eukaryota; Viridiplantae; Streptophyta; Magnoliopsida; Amborellales; Amborellaceae.